This 506-nucleotide ribosomal RNA is filed under the name uncultured bacterium. Its description in RNAcentral is "partial 16S ribosomal RNA". It matches the Rfam family "Bacterial small subunit ribosomal RNA", at positions 29 to 523 of the family's 1533-position model. The record is from RNAcentral.
AGUGAACGCUGGCGGUAGGCCUAACACAUGCAAGUCGAACGGCAGCACAGGAGAGCUUGCUCUCUGGGUGGCGAGUGGCGGACGGGUGAGGAAUACAUCGGAAUCUACUCUGUCGUGGGGGAUAACGUAGGGAAACUUACGCUAAUACCGCAUACGACCUACGGGUGAAAGCAGGGGACCUUCGGGCCUUGCGCGAUUGAAUGAGCCGAUGUCGGAUUAGCUAGUUGGCGGGGUAAAGGCCCACCAAGGCGACGAUCCGUAGCUGGGCUGAGAAGAUGAUCAGCCACACUGGAACUGAGACACGGGCCAGACUCCUACGGGAGGCAGCAGUGGGGAAUAUUGGACAAUGGGCGCAAGCCUGAUCCAGCCAUACCGCGUGGGUGAAGAAGGCCUUCGGGUUGUAAAGCCCUUUUGUUGGGAAAGAAAUCCAGCUGGCUAAUACCCGGUUGGGAUGACGGUACCCAAAGAAUAAGCACCGGCUAACUUCGUGCCAGCAGCCGCAGUAA